CAGUCGCCGCGGGAAUACGAAGGGGGCUAGCGUUGCUCGGAAUGACUGGGCGUAAAGGGCGCGUAGGCGGUUUUGACAGUCAGAUGUGAAAUUCCUGGGCUUAACCUGGGGGCUGCAUUUGAGACGUCAAGACUAGAGUGUGAGAGAGGGUUGUGGAAUUCCCAGUGUAGAGGUGAAAUUCGUAGAUAUUGGGAAGAACACCGGUGGCGAAGGCGGCAACCUGGCUCAUUACUGACGCUGAGGCGCGAAAGCGUGGGGAGCAAACAGGAUUAGAUACCCCGGUAGUCCCUGUCUCUUAUAC
RNAcentral lists this ribosomal RNA (301 nucleotides) under uncultured bacterium. Its description in RNAcentral is "partial 16S ribosomal RNA". It matches the Rfam family "Bacterial small subunit ribosomal RNA", at positions 509 to 807 of the family's 1533-position model. The record is from RNAcentral.